Alligator mississippiensis (American alligator) is the source of this 1390-nucleotide long non-coding RNA. RefSeq lists it as uncharacterized. NCBI's taxonomy places the organism in Eukaryota, Metazoa, Chordata, Crocodylia, Alligatoridae. The transcript has 2 exons. The record is from RefSeq and is a predicted model, not a curated record.
UUCAGCACCUGCUUUGCACAGUGGGUGGAGGCCAGUGUGAUUUCAUCGGCAGCCGACUGCCCUGUCCAGCCUGUCUGGGACCUGCCCCGUGGGAGCCCUGUGAGUCAGGGCUGAGGAAGAAGAGUAGAUCAUGAGCCUAAACUUUCCCUCAAGGUGCAGCAAGGGAAGUUGAGAUGAGAUAUCCGGAAGAAUUUAGCAUUGAAACAGGAUCCCCAGAGAUGUGGUGGACUCUGCAUCCUUGGAGGUUUUGAAGGGCAUGAAACGACCGGGUCAUCAGUUCAAAACGAACGGCAGGAAGUUGUGUAUCACCCGGUGUGCAUCAAGGGGGAAGUUCAUUGCCACCGGAUGUGGUGGAAGCUGAUCGUUUAGCCCCAAGGGCUAUUUCACAUGCCUGGAGGAAAGAGGCCUCCGCAGCCAUUGCACCUGGGAGUGAAGGGCACGGCUUCUGCAUCAGAAUAUCUUGGACCCUCAAUGCUGGAGGCGGCAAGCAUGGGCGACUGGUGCCUCCUGAGUCUGGCGGGGGGCACCAGAUCACCGACAGUGCACUUCCAGCUUGACGGCUGGCGCUUCCAGGGGGUGCACGCCCGAUCUCAAGGGGUGCAAGUGCACCUGUGCUAGGGUAGCUUGUCACAUUUUAUGCUUUAAGUUGCACCUGUUUAUAGAGUGGUGAAUUAUAGCAUCGUUUAAAGUUUUCUUUUAAAUUCAGCCUACAGUUCUGUAUGGCCUCAUUGGUAUCUGAACUUUUCGUUUUGCUGGCGUUGGCAAUAUCAGCUGGCCUUGUUUCUUGCAAGCAGCUUACGGCCUUGAGCUUGCCCGCAUGCUGUUUCUUUCCUUUUCUUGUCACUGUGAGACUUUUUCUAACACAACAUAGUAAUAGUUGUGUUACUAGCUCAAAUUAACCGAACUUGGCACGAACCAGUUGAAUCAGAGGGAGGAAACGAUUUGCUAUGUUAAUGAAAGGUGAUAAAGGAGACCAAUGGACAAUGCUUAAAGUAAGGUGUGCUCGUAAUGGGGAUGUUGAACAAAGGACUAUGUUGACAGGAUAAAAUAGGAACAAUAUGCUGACUGCAGAAAGACUAAUCCAAAAGCAAGGAGUCACCAAAGCAGUCAAGUUAAAGCAAAGCAUCAAAGGAGGAAGCAAGAAAGUGAAGUGUGUCAUCGUCAUCAUCAUCAUUUCCAUCACGAAUCCAGCUUUCAACACCUGUCUGGAUCAUCCCAGGCAACGACGCACCCUUUGCUUCAGGAGCUGAGAGGCCGUCUCUUCUGUGAAGCAAAGGAACAUGAGGGAUUGGGUGAGAUCAUUGUACUAAGUGUUUUUCUCUCUCUGAAUAGAGAAACUGCUGAGACAAUACUUGUUGUACGAAUAAAGUUAAACUUUGAUUUUCGGGCA